AACGCGAAGAACCUUACCUGGGUUUGACAUCCCUUGAAUACAGUAGAGAUAUUGUAGGCUCGCAAGAGACAAGGAGACAGGUGCUGCAUGGCUGUCGUCAGCUCGUGUUGUGAAAUGUUGGGUUAAGUCCCGCAACGAGCGCAACCCCUGCUUUUGGUUGCCAUCAUUCAGUUGGGCACUCCAAAGGGACUGCCGUCGUUAAGACGGAGGAAGGUGGGGAUGACGUCAAGUCCUCAUGGCCUUUAUAUCCAGGGCGACACACGUGAUACAAUGGUAGAUACAAAGGGCAGCGAAGCAGCGAUGUGAAGCUAAUCCCAAAAAGUCUAUCUCAGUUCGGAUUGAAGUCUGCAACUCGACUUCAUGAAGCUGGAAUCGCUAGUAAUCGCGGAUCAGCACGCCGCGGUGAAUACGUUCCCGGGCCUUGUACACACCGACGCAC
RNAcentral lists this ribosomal RNA (439 nucleotides) under uncultured bacterium. RNAcentral describes it as "bacterial SSU rRNA". It matches the Rfam family "Bacterial small subunit ribosomal RNA", at positions 958 to 1398 of the family's 1533-position model. The record is from RNAcentral.